This 1026-nucleotide ribosomal RNA is filed under the name Triticum aestivum (bread wheat). RNAcentral describes it as "partial small subunit ribosomal RNA". The record is from RNAcentral. Lineage: Eukaryota; Viridiplantae; Streptophyta; Magnoliopsida; Poales; Poaceae.
AUGGACAGGCACACCUGCAAGCUCUGCUUCCGGCGGUUCCAGAAUGGCCGUGCCCUGGGCGGCCACAUGCGCUCCCAUGUCAUGGCGGCUGCCGCAGCUGCUGCGUACUCGACGCCGCCACCGCAGCAGCAGUCGCCGCCACUGUCCUUGGCGUCCACCUCGUCGACGGACACGGAUGGUAAGCCAGCUCAACCGAAACGGCUGUCCUGGGUCCUGCGUGAGGAUCCCGAGAGAAGCUGCAAGGUAGGCGCGGCUGAAUUCUCAGGUGGAUGCUUCGGCGGGGUCACCGCGGCGGCCGGCGAGUCGUCGGUCGUGCAGGACGGCGAGAGCGACACGGAGUCCCCGCGCGGUGGCGCGGGGUUCGCCGUGAGCCGACGGCGCUCCAAGCGGGCACGGCGGCGCGCGCCGCCGCCUGUGCCGGAUCCCGAGCCGGCAAGCACCGUCUCCGAUUCGACCCAGGAGGAGGACGUGGCCAUGUCGCUCGUGAUGCUGUCUCGGGACUCGUGGACGCGGUCCAGAUCCGAGCCGGAGCCCCGCUGGGCCUCGGAGGCCGAGCAAAACAACGACGGCGCCAACGUGUUCGACGAGGACGAGGACGGCCGCGACGUGGCCGGCGAGGCUUACUACGCCGAGGCGACGCCGGUGCUCGUGCACCCACGCGCCAGGCACCAGUGCGGCGCAUGCAAGAAGGUGUUCCGAUCGUACCAGGCCCUCGGCGGCCACCGCGCCAGCGUCAAGAAAGGCAAGGGCGGCUGCGUGCCACCGCCGGCUGGCAAGGCCCACCGCGCCGACGCCCCGAUCGUCCACGAGUGUCCGUUCUGCUUCCGCGUGUUCGGCUCCGGGCAGGCCCUGGGCGGCCACAAGCGCGCGCACAUGCCGUUCGGCGGCGCGCUCGCCCCCUCGCCGCCCCCGGCGAAAUGCGGCGACAGCUUCGGGUCCUUCGAUCUCAACGUGCCGGCCGCGUUCGACGACGACUUCGAGCUCUCCGCCGUGUACGACGCCGAGUUCGGCAGCACCAGACAGUGA